AACUUGGGGUUGGUUGUCGCUGGCUGUCUUUGGCAGCAUGUGCACGCCUUCUCCUUUCAUCCACACACCCCUGUGCACCUGUGAGACUGGAGGCCGAAUUUCCUUUUAACUAGGGAAAGAGAGAGAGGUCGCCUCCGUCUAUAAAUUCAUAUACAAACUCAUUUAAUUGAACUGAAUGUACUUGAUGUAACGCAUCAUUAAACUAAGUUUCAACAACGGAUCUCUUGGCUCUCGCAUCGAUGAAGAACGCAGCGAAAUGCGAUAAGUAAUGUGAAUUGCAGAAUUCAGUGAAUCAUCGAAUCUUUGAACGCACCUUGCGCUCCUUGGUAUUCCUUGGAGCAUGCCUGUUUGAGUAUCAUGAAAUUCUCAAAGUAAACCUUUUGUUAAUUCAAUUGGCCUUGCUUUGGAUUUGGAGGUGUUAAUUCAAUUGGCCUUGCUUUGGAUUUGGAGGUGCUGGAUCUCAGUAUACACUUGGUUCCACUCGGCGUGAUAAGUAUCACUCGCUGAGGACACUGUAAAAGGUGGCCAGGCAAUGCAGAUGAACCGCUUCUAAUAGUCCAUUCACUUGGACAAUUACAUUUAUGAUCUGAUCUCAAAUCAGGUAGGACUACCCGCUGAACUUAA
This 624-nucleotide ribosomal RNA is filed under the name Ceratobasidium sp. AG-B(o). RNAcentral's name for it is "eukaryotic LSU rRNA". The stretch from base 205 to 358 matches the Rfam family "5.8S ribosomal RNA". The record is from RNAcentral. Lineage: Eukaryota; Fungi; Basidiomycota; Agaricomycetes; Cantharellales; Ceratobasidiaceae.